CACCUUGCAAAUCUUAAUAGUUGAUUGUAGUUGAUCUGAGUUUCUAGAUCACUGAGCUAACUUUGUUACUGAAUGUAUUCUCUUUUUGUUAUGCUCAGCUGUAAGCUCUUUCUAUAAAAAAAUAAAUGAUUUCUUCAUCUAUUUGGUUCUUACUCAUUAUUAACUUCACGUAAUGAUUUUGGGGGUGAUAAUAAGGACUGAAGUCCCUCUUAAUUUGUAGGUUGAUGACCCCUAUAGGGAUCCCUACACAACCCCUAUUUAGCUCUUACACAACCCCUACUCAGCCCCUACACAACCCCUACAUCACCUCUAAUUGGCAGUCCGUACAACCCCUACAAGAAGUGUCACUU
RNAcentral lists this long non-coding RNA (350 nucleotides) under Panax ginseng (ginseng). RNAcentral's name for it is "long non-coding RNA (PGIN_LNC009779)". The record is from RNAcentral. Lineage: Eukaryota; Viridiplantae; Streptophyta; Magnoliopsida; Apiales; Araliaceae.